Molecule: long non-coding RNA, 1124 nt
Organism: Papaver somniferum (opium poppy)
Lineage: Eukaryota; Viridiplantae; Streptophyta; Magnoliopsida; Ranunculales; Papaveraceae
Exons: 3
Source: RefSeq, a predicted model, not a curated record
UCUUUCACUCUCAUUUUGCUUCUCUUCUUCUUCGCCGGGUGAAAACCCUAUCAGAGAGUUUCUUCAGUCUUGUCUUAUUAACCAGAUCUUUACUGUAACUUCCGGUACUAUGUUACCGCGGAAUUUUUCUUUUGUGAGAAAUCCAAAUGCAAUUCUUUCUAAUUUAUAUUGAAAUUUUCAUCUUGUAAUCAUCUCUAAUGUAGGAUUAAGUUCAUGUUGCACUUGGUUCUUUAUUUGAUGUCAAAGAACAACUAGAGGAAUAACAAGUUAUGUAUCAAUCCAUCAUCUUAUUCUGCUGCUAAGAAAUCUACCAAACAAUUCCCUCUUGAUUCAAAGAUACAAUAUUUUUACAUUUGAGACCAGACGUAGACCAGAUAUCUGCACAAUAGUAGGGACCUUUUACAAAGUCUGGCAAAGCAAACAAAGAGAGCAGUAAAAUCAAAUCUUGAGAUGGCUUGCCAUUUAUCUGCUGCUGGAUUCACCGUCUCUUUUAGGUCUCCACCGUUUGCUCCAUAAUAUUGUUUUCGUGAUUAAUCGAGGAUCGCUCUGUUGCUUGCCGCGUGCUCAGAACCCCCUUUUCAACGACCACCACUAGCUUCUGAAGGUAAUGAUGAUGUUGAGUUCGACAGUGGGAAUGGCGAUGUAUCGAGUAGUUAAUUAAUUUGAUUUUCAUUUUUUUUUGUACUUUGUAUUCAUUUGUGGCAUAUGGUCAAGUGUCUAGUCAAAAGUGUAUGUUUCAUUUUGUGUACUUAAGGAUUAAACCUUCAUUCUCUCCAGUUCGGUUCGUUUAAUCAAAAAUGGACAUGAGUGCAUAUAUAGCUCCAGCAGGCUACUCCUCGUCCCAUCGGUUCGUUUAAUCGAAAAUGGACAUGAGUGCAUAGAUAGCUCCAGCAGGCUACUCCUCAUCCCAAGGAUGCAUACUUAUCAAAUAGAAGAUGUGUGAAGGCUAUGUGCAGGUGUGUCUCUACUUGGGAAUUGUAAAAGAAAAAGUAAAGAAAUACUGUUAAGAAUAGAUCUAACGAUUGUAAAUUGUGUAGAUGAACGAUGAAAGUAUUCACUAAAUAGUCUGUGCAUUUAGUCAUCUGAAAUUAGUUUGUUUACAAUCAUCUUCUGUGUGAUCUGAA